GACGAACGCUGGCGGCGUGCCUAAUACAUGCAAGUUGAGCGAUGAAGAUUGGUGCUUGCACCAAUUUGAAGAGCAGCGAACGGGUGAGUAACGCGUGGGGAAUCUGCCUUUGAGCGGGGGACAACAUUUGGAAACGAAUGCUAAUACCGCAUAACAACUUUAAACAUAAGUUUUAAGUUUGAAAGAUGCAAUUGCAACACUCAAAGAUGAUCCCGCGUUGUAUUAGCUAGUUGGUGAGGUAAAGGCUCACCAAGGCGAUGAUACAUAGCCGACCUGAGAGGGUGAUCGGCCACAUUGGGACUGAGACACGGCCCAAACUCCUACGGGAGGCAGCAGUAGGGAAUCUUCGGCAAUGGACGAAAGUCUGACCGAGCAACGCCGCGUGAGUGAAGAAGGUUUUCGGAUCGUAAAACUCUGUUGGUAGAGAAGAACGUUGGUGAGAGUGGAAAGCUCAUCAAGUGACGGUAACUACCCAGAAAGGGACGGCUAACUACGUG
RNAcentral lists this ribosomal RNA (497 nucleotides) under uncultured bacterium. RNAcentral's name for it is "partial 16S ribosomal RNA". It matches the Rfam family "Bacterial small subunit ribosomal RNA", at positions 28 to 507 of the family's 1533-position model. The record is from RNAcentral.